GAUGAACGCUGGCGGCGUGCUUAACACAUGCAAGUCGAACGGAAAGGCUCCUGCUUGCAGGGGUACUCGAGUGGCGAACGGGUGAGUAACACGUGGGUGAUCUGCCCUGCACUUCGGGAUAAGCCUGGGAAACUGGGUCUAAUACCGGAUAGGACGAUGGUUUGGAUGCCAUUGUGGAAAGUUUUUCGGUGUGGGAUGAGCUCGCGGCCUAUCAGCUUGUUGGUGGGGUAAUGGCCUACCAAGGCGUCGACGGGUAGCCGGCCUGAGAGGGUGUACGGCCACAUUGGGACUGAGAUACGGCCCAGACUCCUACGGGAGGCAGCAGUGGGGAAUAUUGCACAAUGGGCGCAAGCAUGAUGCAGCGACGCCGCGUGGGGGAUGACGGCCUUCGGGUUGUAAACUCCUUUCGCUAGGGACGAAGCGCAAGUGACGGUACCUGGAGAAGAAGCACCGGCUAACUACGUG
Molecule: ribosomal RNA, 465 nt
Filed under: uncultured bacterium
Lineage: Bacteria
Description: partial 16S ribosomal RNA
Rfam family: Bacterial small subunit ribosomal RNA
Source: RNAcentral